UAGCCGCUCCUAGAAAGGCUUAGCCUUCCCCACACAAAUCAAUGACACUCUCUGCUCGGCUGCAGGCACCGGGGCAGCUCCGACACAGCCCGGCUCACACCGGGGACGGCAGCGUCGGCGCGCGGAGCAGAGGCACUCCCGGCGCUGUCUCAGGGUCCCUCCCCGGCUCUGGACCCUGCCCGUGUGAUUCCUGAGGACAGCACCAACACGGCCAGCCGCAGCUCUGUGCAAGGCCCUGGGCAGUCUGGCAGCAUUAACACCGUGUCCCGCUGCUGCUGGUGCUGUUUACUCAGGUGUGGGCAAUGAGCGGCCCCCCCGGCGUGCUGCAGCACCCAGCGAGCACCAACCCUGCCAGUGGGGUUUUCCAGCCAGCCUGGGGCCGAACUCCCUUUGAAAUUCCUCCUCUAAUUAAU
RNAcentral lists this long non-coding RNA (413 nucleotides) under Gallus gallus (chicken). RNAcentral describes it as "long non-coding RNA NONGGAT011614". The record is from RNAcentral. Lineage: Eukaryota; Metazoa; Chordata; Aves; Galliformes; Phasianidae.